GGAGUCUGGGCCGUGUCUCAGUCCCAAUGUGGCCGUCCGCCCUCUCAGGCCGGCUACUGAUCGUCGCUUUGGUGGGCCGUUACCUCACCAACUGGCUAAUCAGACGCGGGUCCAUCCCGGACCACCGGAGUUUUUCACACAGGAUCAUGCGGUCCCGUGCGCUUAUGCGGUAUUACCAGCCGUUUCCAGCUGCUAUCCCCCGGUCCGGGGCAGGUUCCCCACGCGUUACUCACCCGUCCGCCACUAUGAUCAAGAUCAUUCCGCCGAAGCCUCAUUCUCUUGUUCACCGUUCGACUUGCAUGUGUUAGGCACGCCGCCAGCGUUCAUC
This 328-nucleotide ribosomal RNA is filed under the name uncultured Butyrivibrio sp. Its description in RNAcentral is "partial 16S ribosomal RNA". Lineage: Bacteria; Bacillati; Bacillota; Clostridia; Lachnospirales; Lachnospiraceae. The record is from RNAcentral.